This 364-nucleotide ribosomal RNA is filed under the name Cynoglossus lida (roughscale tonguesole). RNAcentral describes it as "partial 12S ribosomal RNA". It matches the Rfam family "Bacterial small subunit ribosomal RNA", at positions 1020 to 1523 of the family's 1533-position model. Lineage: Eukaryota; Metazoa; Chordata; Actinopteri; Pleuronectiformes; Cynoglossidae. The record is from RNAcentral.
CCCCCUUUAGCAUCUCUGCCUAUAUACCGCCGUCGUCAGCUCACCCUUCUAGGGAAUGAAAGUAAGCAAAGUUGGUAAAACCCAAAACGCCAGGUCGAGGUGUAGUAUAUGAGGGGGGAAGAAAUGGGCUACAUUGACUAAUCUAGUCUAUCACGGAAAGUAAAGUGAAAACUGAUUUUUUGAAGGUGGAUUUAGAAGUAAGUGAAAAAUAGAGAGUUUCACUGAAUGCGGCUCUUAAGCGCGUACAUACCGCCCGUCACCUUCCCCAAAAAUUCCAAAACUUGAUUAAUAAUCCAUUAUUAAGUGAUUUUACAGGGGACGGAAGUCGUAACAUGGUAAGUGUACCGGAAGGUGUACUUGGAUU